UGAGAUUUCAGAGCCUGACAACCCU
This 25-nucleotide microRNA is filed under the name Equus caballus (horse). RNAcentral describes it as "eca-miR-9090". Lineage: Eukaryota; Metazoa; Chordata; Mammalia; Perissodactyla; Equidae. The record is from miRBase by way of RNAcentral.